Molecule: long non-coding RNA, 771 nt
Organism: Alligator sinensis (Chinese alligator)
Lineage: Eukaryota; Metazoa; Chordata; Crocodylia; Alligatoridae
Exons: 3
Source: RefSeq, a predicted model, not a curated record
CUCUGGCUACAGCCAGGGGGAAGAAGCUCUUACAGAAAAGUUGCUUGGAGAUGCUUGUUUGCCUGUUCUGCUGCUGGUCGUGAAAAUUUGUUUACUUCUUAGUUCAAGGCCCAAACACAGUGACAUCGCUAUAUCUGAGGACAACUGGAUAUCUGAUGUGAAUACCUCUGGGCAUACCACAAAAUGAAGGAACAGUGCACCUGGUCCCUUUCUCGCUCUUCUUGAAGGCUCCUGAGGAAAGUGUGACCUGAAGCUGACAUACUCAAGUAUAAUCCUUUGUUUAAAUUCAUACUGAUUGUUAACUGAAAGGGUGCAAUAGACUAAAAUACACUUAUAUUUUUAAUGUUUAAUCCACAGCAAUGGACUAAAAUAUACUUAUAGUUGUGACUUGUAUGUUAAACAUUUACAUGACUAUGUUUAAACAUAUGCAAUAUUGUACUUGCAUGUAUGGACGCACCAACUUAGCAAAUGGGAUCCUAAAUGUUUUCCUGAUAAAAAGAUUACAAAUUAGGUGCACAAAUCCCAUCUCAGAUCUCCAUGCUUGACCUUUGUACCAAUAUUUUGCCCUCUUGACAAACAUGAAUCUACCUAUGUACAGGGAUGUCACAAGUUACUGGGCAAAUGCACCUGCAUUGCUCUAGACAGAUAGAAUAAAAACUUUUCAGGCUAUAAAACAAUAUAAGAUACAAUAUGAAAAUAAUUGUUUGGAUGUGUGUUUUUUCUACAUGAACUAGUGUUCAGGUGCUUCUGUUUCUGAGUGCUUAAUACAAC